This 301-nucleotide ribosomal RNA is filed under the name uncultured bacterium. Its description in RNAcentral is "partial 16S ribosomal RNA". It matches the Rfam family "Bacterial small subunit ribosomal RNA", at positions 509 to 807 of the family's 1533-position model. The record is from RNAcentral.
CAGCCGCCACGGGAAUACGAAGGGUGCAAGCGUUACACGGAAUUACUGGGCGUAAAGCGUGCGUAGGUGGUGGUUUAAGUCCGUUGUGAAAGCCCUGGGCUCAACCUGGGAAUUGCAGUGGAUACUGGGUCACUAGAGUGUGGUAGAGGAUAGUGGAAUUUCCGGUGUAGCAGUGAAAUGCGUAGAGAUCGGAAGGAACAUCUGUGGCGAAGGCGACUAUCUGGGCCAACACUGACACUGAGGCACGAAAGCGUGGGGAGCAAACAGGAUUAGAUACCCCUGUAGUCCCUGUCUCUUAUAC